RNAcentral lists this ribosomal RNA (490 nucleotides) under uncultured bacterium. RNAcentral's name for it is "partial 16S ribosomal RNA". It matches the Rfam family "Bacterial small subunit ribosomal RNA", at positions 30 to 507 of the family's 1533-position model. The record is from RNAcentral.
AUUGAACGCUGGCGGCAGGCCUAACACAUGCAAGUCGAACGGUAACAGGAAGAAGCUUGCUUCUUUGCUGACGAGUGGCGGACGGGUGAGUAAUGUCUGGGAAACUGCCUGAUGGAGGGGGAUAACUACUGGAAACGGUAGCUAAUACCGCAUAACGUCGCAAGACCAAAAAGGGGGACCUUCGGGCCUCUUGCCGUCGGAUGUGCCCAGAUGGGAUUAGCUAGUAGGUGGGGUAACGGCUCACCUAGGCGACGAUCCCUAGCUGGUCUGAGAGGAUGACCAGCCACACUGGAACUGAGACACGGUCCAGACUCCUACGGGAGGCAGCAGUGGGGAAUAUUGCACAAUGGGCGCAAGCCUGAUGCAGCCAUGCCGCGUGUAUGAAGAAGGCCUUCGGGUUGUAAAGUACUUUCAGCGGGGAGGAAGGGAGUAAAGUUAAUACCUUUGCUCAUUGACGUUACCCGCAGAAGAAGCACCGGCUAACUCCGUG